AACACUGACCACCACCUACCUCCCACAACUGCACGGGCUCCUAGAAUUGAAGUUCGGCUCCCCUGUUUGCUUCCUACCUUUAUGCCCAGGCCUGGCACAAAAGCCCCUCUGUAAGUGUUUAGUGAUCCCCUAGGCUGGUUCCUUGGUUGGCAUCCAAGACUCUCAAAGCAGGAAGUCACACUGGUAACAUGCGGCCCAACUCACCCACAGCAGCAGAAGAGACCGAGGCUCACGGGACCUCAGUGGCCGGGAAACACAGCAGCCCUGGGUCACCUGAUGUCUCACUUAGGUCUUAAAGGCAGCGCUGGGUUACCCAUGACCACACAGCUGUUCUGUGGCUUCCCAGUGUUCCCUGGUCACAGCUACUGUGAGCCACCCAGCCAGCCCCUUCUUUUCAUUUCAACCUCCACCCCACCCCUUGCUUUUUCUCCGGCUUCUGGUUGGUGGCUCCCAUAUUUUCAGAGACAAUUGAUCCUUCACAAAGAGGACCAGAGUUGGCUAUACUCUGCCUGGAACCAGGCUCACGGAGCAAGGGUGAUCCUGGAGCUCCCCCCACCCCAACCCCAGCCUGCUCAGGGUCAUUCACAGGACAGAAGUUCUUCAUGACCACAAGAACCAGCACCACCUCCAUACUCUAAAUUGCAACUCGGACGCUACAAGGAAAAGAUGCUCUCAGCACAACGGCUUCACAUCUGAACAUCGAAGAACAUGGAGUAAACUCGCCUGUGGCAAAGUCAUGGCAAAGAGAAGUUUC
Molecule: long non-coding RNA, 754 nt
Organism: Mesocricetus auratus (golden hamster)
Lineage: Eukaryota; Metazoa; Chordata; Mammalia; Rodentia; Cricetidae
Exons: 2
Source: RefSeq, a predicted model, not a curated record